AGUGAACGCUGGCGGUAGGCCUAACACAUGCAAGUCGAACGGCAGCACAGUAAGAGCUUGCUCUUACGGGUGGCGAGUGGCGGACGGAUGAGGAAUACAUCGGAAUCUACUUUUUCGUGGGGGAUAACGUAGGGAAACUUACGCUAAUACCGCAUACGACCUACGGGUGAAAGCAGGGGAUCUUCGGACCUUGCGCGAUUGAAUGAGCCGAUGUCGGAUUAGCUAGUUGGCGGGGUAAAGGCCCACCAAGGCGACGAUCCGUAGCUGGUCUGAGAGGAUGAUCAGCCACACUGGAACUGAGACACGGUCCAGACUCCUACAGGAGGCAGCAGUGGGGAAUAUUGGACAAUGGGCGCAAGCCUGAUCCAGCCAUACCGCGUGGGUGAAGAAGGCCUUCGGGUUGUAAAGCCCUUUUGUUGGGAAAGAAAAGCAGCAGGUUAAUACCCCGCUGUUCUGACGGUACCCAAAGAAUAAGCACCGGCUAACUUCGUG
RNAcentral lists this ribosomal RNA (492 nucleotides) under uncultured bacterium. Its description in RNAcentral is "partial 16S ribosomal RNA". It matches the Rfam family "Bacterial small subunit ribosomal RNA", at positions 29 to 507 of the family's 1533-position model. The record is from RNAcentral.